GAAAUGCGAUAAGUAAUGUGAAUUGCAGAAUUCAGUGAAUCAUCGAAUCUUUGAACGCACCUUGCGCUCCUUGGUAUUCCUUGGAGCAUGCCUGUUUGAGUAUCAUGAAAUCUUCAAAGUAAAUCUUUUGUUAACUCAAUUGGUUUCUACUUUGGUAUUGGAGGUCUUUGCAGCUUCACACCUGCUCCUCUUUGUUCAUUAGCUGGAUCUCAGUGUUAUGCUUGGUUCCACUCGGCGUGAUAAGUUAUCUAUCGCUGAGGACACUGUAAAAGGUGGCCAAGGUAAAUGCAGAUGAACCGCUUCUAAUAGUCCAUUGACUUGGACAAUACUUUUAUGAUCUGAUCUCAAAUCAGGUAGGACUACCCGCUGAACUUAAGCAUAUCAAUAAGCGGAGGA
RNAcentral lists this unclassified non-coding RNA (396 nucleotides) under plant metagenome. Its description in RNAcentral is "partial contains 5.8S ribosomal RNA, internal transcribed spacer 2, and large subunit ribosomal RNA". The stretch from base 1 to 105 matches the Rfam family "5.8S ribosomal RNA", at positions 50 to 154 of the family's 154-position model. The record is from RNAcentral.